This 321-nucleotide ribosomal RNA is filed under the name uncultured eukaryote. RNAcentral's name for it is "partial 18S ribosomal RNA". It matches the Rfam family "Eukaryotic small subunit ribosomal RNA", at positions 1470 to 1796 of the family's 1831-position model. The record is from RNAcentral.
CCCUUAGAUGCUCUGGGCCGCACGCGCGCUACACUGGUCGAUGCAACGAGUUUCUUUCCUUGGCCGACAGGCCUGGGUAAUCUUUGAACGCUGUUCGUGAUUGGGAUAGACCUUUGCAAUUAUGGGUCUUCAACGAGGAAUUCCUAGUAAACGCAAGUCAUCAGCUUGCAUUGAUUACGUCCCUGCCCUUUGUACACACCGCCCGUCGCACCUACCGAUUGAAUGGUCCGGUGAAAUCUCGGGACGGCGGCUUGGUCGCUUGCGUCCGACUGCUGAAACUUGAUUAAACCAUAUCAUUUAGAGGAAGGUGAAGUCGUAACA